This 1328-nucleotide ribosomal RNA is filed under the name Ameloblastella sp. 8 IBC-2015. RNAcentral's name for it is "eukaryotic LSU rRNA". It matches the Rfam family "Eukaryotic large subunit ribosomal RNA", at positions 150 to 1202 of the family's 3401-position model. Lineage: Eukaryota; Metazoa; Platyhelminthes; Monogenea; Dactylogyridea; Ancylodiscoididae. The record is from RNAcentral.
GUUUAGGCGUGUGCCUGGGGUGACUCGUCUAUUCGAAGUCCUACUUUGAUUCUGGCAUGUAUUUGCCCCAUAGAGGGUGAAAGGCCCGUACGGAUAGACAUGAAGCAAAUUUGAGUCGCCCUCAGAUGCAUGCGCCUUAGAGUCGGAUUGCUUGAGAAUGCAGUCCAAAGUGGGUGGUAAACUCCAUCCAAGGCUAAAUACCUGCACGAGUCCGAUAGUAAACAAGUACCGUGAGGGAAAGUUGAAAAGUACUCUGAAGAGAGAGUAAAUAGUACGUGAAGCUGCCUGUCGAGAAGCUGGUGGAGUCAAGCUCCAUGUCUGGAUGAUUAAUAUCGAGUGAUGUGUUGUGUUAUGGCCUGCCUGUUGUUUUGCCUUCAAAUGGUGAGGUGGUUUACCGCCUCAAGUUCACUGGUCAGUGAGCUUGUAACAUCAGACCUGGUCGAUUGCUCGUAUUCUAUCACCGGACAGCCAUCACGGCUGAUAGUCUUAUGGUGCCUGGUGGCCAAACCAUGUCUUUGUGGGUUAACUCUUGCAAGAUGUGGGAUGGCAGGUGGUUGAUGAGUCAGCAAUGUCUCAUCAUCUUAUUCUGUUUAUGCAGCCGUCUACCAGGUUACUCUUACUCUUCCGUUCUAUCAGUUAAUGUUCUGCUAUGCCCGCAAGGGAAUGGUAGUGAGAGCCGUGGUGUUGGAGUAGAUUUUCCACCCGACCCGUCUUGAAACACGGACCAAGGAGUUUAACAUGAGCGCAAGUCAAUGGGCCUUAUGAAACCCAAUGGCGCAAUGAAAGUGAAUGGCCAGUCUGCUGGUCUAAGGUGUGAUUCUUGGUUUCCCUUCACAGGAGCCGAGACGCAACACCGGCCCGUCUCAAGAUGUAGUCAUGGUCACUUUUCGUGGCUGUGCAUCAUCGAGGCGGAGCAAGAGCGUUCAUGUUGAGACCCGAAAGAUGGUGAACUAUGCUUGCGUAGGUCGAAGCCAGAGGAAACUCUGGUGGAGGACCGUCGCGGUUUUGACGUGCAAAUCGAUCGUCAAACGUGUGCAUAGGGGCGAAAGACUAAUCGAACCAUCUGGUAGCUGGUUCCCUCCGAAGUUUCCCUCAGGAUAGCUGGCAAUCGAAUCGCUUAACAGUUUUAUCCGAUAAAGCGAAUGAUUAGAGGUAUUGGGGACUAAUUGUCCUCAACCUAUUCUCAAACUAUAAAUGGGUACGAUGCUGGACUCGCUUAAUUGGAGUCUAGCAUUGAAUGUGAUUGCCAAGUGGGCCAUUUUUGGUAAGCAGAACUGGCGCUGUGGGAUGCUCCGAACGUGCAGUUAAGGUGCCGGACGCGGACGCUC